CAAGUGCCAGAGCUGGAUCUCACUCUAUUUAUAUGAUGUGAUGGUGUGUGUUAAACUUUGGAGAACAGAGAAGAUUCCAGUCCAAACAACACACACCAUGUUCUCUACAUCUCUACUGCUCCUGCUGGCAGCUGCUUCUUAUGUGCAUGGUGAGGAACUGACUCAGCCUGCUUCCAUGACAGUCCAGCCAGGCCAGAGUCUCUCCAUCCAGUGCAAGGUUUCAUAUUCAGUUACAAGCUAUAGUACGGCUUGGAUUCGACAACCUGCAGGAAAAACUCUGGAGUGGGUCACACUUAUGGGUUAUGAUUUUAAAACUUACUACAGUGAGAAACUGAAAAGCAGGUUUCAGGUUUCCACAGACACGUCCAGCAACACAGUGACAUUAACAGGACAGAACAUGCAGACUGAAGACACAGCUGUGUAUUACUGCGCUCGGGAACCACACAGUGAGAUGAAUAAGCAACAUCUCUGUACAAAAACUCCUCAUUUAGUGUUCACAAUAACAACACACAAGGCACAACACUGAUCUAUAGGAGUCGAACAAAAUGUAAAAUAAAU
Non-coding RNA from Tachysurus vachellii, 558 nucleotides. NCBI's taxonomy places the organism in Eukaryota, Metazoa, Chordata, Actinopteri, Siluriformes, Bagridae. The record is from the annotation of a RefSeq genome assembly.